UACGUAGGGGGCAAGCGUUAUCCGGAUUUACUGGGUGUAAAGGGAGCGUAGACGGUGAUGCAAGUCAGAUGUGAAAGCCCGGGGCUUAACCGCGGGACUGCAUUUGAAACUGCAAUGCUGGAGUGCAGGAGAGGUAAGCGGAAUUCCUGGUGUAGCGGUGAAAUGCGUAGAUAUCAGGAGGAACACCAGUGGCGAAGGCGGCUUACUGGACUGUAACUGACGUUGAGGCUCGAAAGCGUGGGGAGCAAACAGG
Molecule: ribosomal RNA, 253 nt
Filed under: uncultured bacterium
Lineage: Bacteria
Description: partial 16S ribosomal RNA
Rfam family: Bacterial small subunit ribosomal RNA
Source: RNAcentral